AUUGAACGCUAGCGGGAUGCUUUACACAUGCAAGUCGAACGGCAGCGCGGACUUCGGUCUGGCGGCGAGUGGCGAACGGGUGAGUAAUGUAUCGGAACGUGCCCAGUAGCGGGGGAUAACUACGCGAAAGCGUAGCUAAUACCGCAUACGCCCUACGGGGGAAAGCAGGGGAUCGUAAGACCUUGCACUAUUGGAGCGGCCGAUAUCGGAUUAGCUAGUUGGUGAGGUAACGGCUCACCAAGGCGACGAUCCGUAGCUGGUUUGAGAGGACGACCAGCCCCACUGGGACUGAGACACGGCCCAGACUCCUACGGGAGGCAGCAGUGGGGAAUUUUGGACAAAGGGGGCAACCCUGAUCCAGCCAUCCCGCGUGUGCGAUGAAGGCCUUCGGGUUGUAAAGCACUUUUGGCAGGAAAGAAACGGCGCGGGCUAAUACCCCGUGGAACUGACGGUACCUGCAGAAUAAGCACCGGCUAACUACGUG
This 484-nucleotide ribosomal RNA is filed under the name uncultured bacterium. RNAcentral describes it as "partial 16S ribosomal RNA". It matches the Rfam family "Bacterial small subunit ribosomal RNA", at positions 30 to 507 of the family's 1533-position model. The record is from RNAcentral.